GACGAACCGUGCGAACGUUGUUCGGAAUCACUGGGCUUAAAGGGCGCGUAGGCGGGCUGUCAAGUCCGGGGUGAAAUCCUCCAGCUCAACUGGAGAAUGGCCUCGGAUACUGAUGGUCUCGAGGAGGAUAGGGGCACACGGAACUGUGGGUGGAGCGGUGAAAUGCGUUGAUAUCCACAGGAACUCCGGUGGCGAAAGCGGUGUGCUGGAUCCUUUCUGACGCUGAUGCGCGAAAGCCAGGGGGGCAAACGGG
RNAcentral lists this ribosomal RNA (253 nucleotides) under uncultured bacterium. Its description in RNAcentral is "partial 16S ribosomal RNA". It matches the Rfam family "Bacterial small subunit ribosomal RNA", at positions 524 to 776 of the family's 1533-position model. The record is from RNAcentral.